RNAcentral lists this non-coding RNA (605 nucleotides) under Drosophila virilis. Its description in RNAcentral is "Eukaryotic large subunit ribosomal RNA". It matches the Rfam family "Eukaryotic large subunit ribosomal RNA", at positions 665 to 1207 of the family's 3401-position model. Lineage: Eukaryota; Metazoa; Arthropoda; Insecta; Diptera; Drosophilidae. The record is from Rfam by way of RNAcentral.
ACCAGGGAGUCUAACAUAUGUGCAAGUUAUUGGGAUAUAAACCUAAUAGCGUAAUUAACUUGACUAUUAAUGGGAUUAGUUUUUUAACUAUUUAUAGUUAAUUAACGCAAUCCCGGGGCGCUCUAUAUAGUUAUGUAUAAUAAUAUUUAUAUUAUUUAUGCCUCUAACUGGAACGUACCUUGAGCAUAUAUGCUGUGACCCGAAAGAUGGUGAACUAUACUUGAUCAGGUUGAAGUCAGGGGAAACCCUGAUGGAAGACCGAAACAGUUCUGACGUGCAAAUCGAUUGUCAGAAUUGAGUAUAGGGGCGAAAGACCAAUCGAACCAUCUAGUAGCUGGUUCCUUCCGAAGUUUCCCUCAUGAUAGCUGGUGCAUUUAACUGUUGUAUAAAAUAAUCUUAUCUGGUAAAGCGAAUGAUUAGAGGCGUUAGGGUCGAAACGAUCUUAACGUAUUCUCAAACUUUAAAUGGGUAAGAACCUUAACUUUCUUGAUAUGAAGUUUAAGGUUAUGAUAUAAUGUGCCCAGUGGGCCACUUUUGGUAAGCAGAACUGGCGCUGUGGGGAGAACCAACCGAAUGUUACCGUUGCCCCAAUUAACCCCCCUAAA